RNAcentral lists this transfer RNA (87 nucleotides) under Flavobacteriales bacterium. RNAcentral describes it as "tRNA-Leu". It matches the Rfam family "tRNA". From Rfam's summary of the family: Transfer RNA (tRNA) molecules are approximately 80 nucleotides in length. Their secondary structure includes four short double-helical elements and three loops (D, anti-codon, and T loops). The record is from RNAcentral. Lineage: Bacteria; Pseudomonadati; Bacteroidota; Flavobacteriia; Flavobacteriales.
GCCCAGAUGGCGGAAUUGGUAGACGCGCUGGUCUCAAACACCAGUGGGGUUAAACCCGUGCCGGUUCGAGCCCGGCUCUGGGCACAA